RNAcentral lists this ribosomal RNA (252 nucleotides) under uncultured bacterium. Its description in RNAcentral is "partial 16S ribosomal RNA". It matches the Rfam family "Bacterial small subunit ribosomal RNA", at positions 524 to 775 of the family's 1533-position model. The record is from RNAcentral.
UACGUAGGGUGCGAGCGUUGUCCGGAAUUAUUGGGCGUAAAGAGCUCGUAGGCGGCUUGUCGCGUCGGCUGUGAAAACUUGGGGCUCAACCCUGAGCUUGCAGUCGAUACGGGCAGGCUGGAGUUCGGCAGGGGAGACUGGAAUUCCUGGUGUAGCGGUGAAGUGCGCAGAUAUCAGGAGGGACACCGGUGGCGAAGGCGGGUCUCUGGGCCGAUACUGACGCUGAGGAGCGAAAGCGUGGGGAGCGAACAG